Molecule: ribosomal RNA, 440 nt
Filed under: uncultured bacterium
Lineage: Bacteria
Description: partial 16S ribosomal RNA
Rfam family: Bacterial small subunit ribosomal RNA
Source: RNAcentral
CCUACGGGUGGCAGCAGUGGGGAAUAUUGCACAAUGGGGGAAACCCUGAUGCAGCGACGCCGCGUGAGUGAAUAAGUAUUUCGGUAUGUAAAGCUCUAUCAGCAGGGAAGAAAAUGACGGUACCUGACUAAGAAGCCCCGGCUAACUACGUGCCAGCAGCCGCGGUAAUACGUAGGGGGCAAGCGUUAUCCGGAUUUACUGGGUGUAAAGGGAGCGUAGACGGCCAGACAAGUCAGAAGUGAAAACCCUCGGCUCAACUGCGGGAGUGCUUUUGAAACUGUUUGGCUGGAGUGCAGGAGAGGUAAGUGGAAUUCCUAGUGUAGCGGUGAAAUGCGUAGAUAUUAGGAGGAACACCAGUGGCGAAGGCGGCUUACUGGACUGUAACUGACGUUGAGGCUCGAAAGCGUGGGGAGCAAACAGGAUUAGAUACCCUUGUAGUC